This 750-nucleotide ribosomal RNA is filed under the name uncultured bacterium. RNAcentral describes it as "bacterial SSU rRNA". It matches the Rfam family "Bacterial small subunit ribosomal RNA", at positions 40 to 753 of the family's 1533-position model. The record is from RNAcentral.
GGGGGUGCAUAUACUGCAGUCGAGCGAGCUUGCCUAGAUGAUUUUAGUGCUUGCACUAAAUGAAACUAGAUACAAGCGAGCGGCGGACGGGUGAGUAACACGUGGGUAACCUGCCCAAGAGACUGGGAUAACACCUGGAAACAGAUGCUAAUACCGGAUAACAACACUAGACGCAUGUCUAGAGUUUGAAAGAUGGUUCUGCUAUCACUCUUGGAUGGACCUGCGGUGCAUUAGCUAGUUGGUAAGGUAACGGCUUACCAAGGCAAUGAUGCAUAGCCGAGUUGAGAGACUGAUCGGCCACAUUGGGACUGAGACACGGCCCAAACUCCUACGGGAGGCAGCAGUAGGGAAUCUUCCACAAUGGACGAAAGUCUGAUGGAGCAACGCCGCGUGAGUGAAGAAGGGUUUCGGCUCGUAAAGCUCUGUUGGUAGUGAAGAAAGAUAGAGGUAGUAACUGGCCUUUAUUUGACGGUAAUUACUUAGAAAGUCACGGCUAACUACGUGCCAGCAGCCGCGGUAAUACGUAGGUGGCAAGCGUUGUCCGGAUUUAUUGGGCGUAAAGCGAGUGCAGGCGGUUCAAUAAGUCUGAUGUGAAAGCCUUCGGCUCAACCGGAGGAUUGCAUCAGAAACUGUUGAACUUGAGUGCAGAAGAGGAGAGUGGAACUCCAUGUGUAGCGGUGGAAUGCGUAGAUAUAUGGAAGAACACCAGUGGCGAAGGCGGCUCUCUGGUCUGCAACUGACGCUGAGGCU